CGGGAAGUAGCUCAGCUUGGUAGAGCACUUGGUUUGGGACCAAGGGGUCGCAGGUUCGAAUCCCGUCUUCCCGA
RNAcentral lists this transfer RNA (74 nucleotides) under Staphylococcus aureus. RNAcentral describes it as "tRNA-Pro". It matches the Rfam family "tRNA". From Rfam's summary of the family: Transfer RNA (tRNA) molecules are approximately 80 nucleotides in length. Their secondary structure includes four short double-helical elements and three loops (D, anti-codon, and T loops). RNAcentral also lists the same sequence under 3 other names. The record is from RNAcentral. Lineage: Bacteria; Bacillati; Bacillota; Bacilli; Caryophanales; Staphylococcaceae.